Molecule: ribosomal RNA, 446 nt
Filed under: uncultured bacterium
Lineage: Bacteria
Description: bacterial SSU rRNA
Rfam family: Bacterial small subunit ribosomal RNA
Source: RNAcentral
GAGUUUGAUCCUGGCUCAAAUUGAACGCUGGCGGCAGGCCUAACACAUGCAAGUCGAGCGGCAGCGGGAAGAUAGCUUGCUAUCUUCGCCGACGAGCGGCGGACGGGUGAGUAAUACCUGGGGAUCUGCCCAAUCGAGGGGGAUAACAGUUGGAAACGACUGCUAAUACCGCAUACGCCCUACGGGGGAAAGGAGGGGACCUUCGGGCCUUCCGCGAUUGGAUGAACCCAGGCGGGAUUAGCUAGUAGGUGAGGUAAUGGCUCACCUAGGCGACGAUCCCUAGCUGUUCUGAGAGGAUGGACAGCCACACUGGAACUGANACACGGUCCAGACUCCUACGGGAGGCANCNUGGGGAAUAUUGGACAAUGGGGGAAACCCUGAUCCAUNAUGCCGCGUGUGUGAAGAAGGCCUUUGGGUUGUANAGCANUUUCAGUGGGGAGGAAAG